This 254-nucleotide ribosomal RNA is filed under the name uncultured bacterium. RNAcentral describes it as "partial 16S ribosomal RNA". It matches the Rfam family "Bacterial small subunit ribosomal RNA", at positions 524 to 776 of the family's 1533-position model. The record is from RNAcentral. RNAcentral also lists the same sequence under 1 other name.
UACGGGGGGGGCAAGCGUUGUUCGGAAUUACUGGGCGUAAAGGGUUCGUAGGUGGCCAACUAAGUCAGACGUGAAAUCCCUCAGCUUAACUGGGGAACUGCGUCUGAUACUGGUCUGGCUUGAGUGCAGGAGAGGAACGCGGAAUUCCAGGUGUAGCGGUGAAAUGCGUAGAUAUCUGGAGGAACACCGGUGGCGAAGGCGGCGUUCUGGACUGCAACUGACACUGAGGAACGAAAGCCAGGGGAGCAAACGGG